ACAUCUUUUUCAUCUUCCACGGAAUAUCGAAAUUGAUACUUCGGUGAUAGUUCAUACUCAUCAAGUAAUUCACAUAAUUACAUAUUAUUCAACAAUAACCACAAAGCAUAAUAUUUCAUGAUAAUAAUCAGCAUCAUAUCAUAUAAACAACAUUAAAUUUCUUAAAAUGACAAUUAUGUUACUACAUUUACACAUGAACUUACCUCGUAUGCGAAAAUGGCUACUUUUAC
This 230-nucleotide long non-coding RNA is filed under the name Gossypium barbadense (sea-island cotton). RNAcentral's name for it is "long non-coding RNA (GBAR_LNC001485)". The record is from RNAcentral. Lineage: Eukaryota; Viridiplantae; Streptophyta; Magnoliopsida; Malvales; Malvaceae.